ACUCAGGACUCGCAGGUAAGGAGCCGCCACUGCCCUCUCGGUCCUCUCUUCUCUCUUUAUAAGCAGAAGGCACAGGACAGAUCUCUGCUGGAAGUGACCGGGGAAAGAAUGAGUUCAAGUGCUACGUCAGCAGAGGACCCAGCCAUGGAGACUCUGGAGCAUGGAGCUUUCAGCAUCAACGGUGUACAGGAGAAUGACCUAUGAUUUGACAGACCGUGCAGCUGUGUAUGUCUGUCAUUCUGUAGGCCAAUAUUCUGUAUGUCACUGCUACUUAAAAUCCAGACAGCAGACAUCGGCUAACACUCUCUGAGCGCUGUGCAGCAGAUCACAGGAGAGUCUGUAGUAUAACAGGAGAAUGUGCUGACAAAAUAAAAUGAGACCAUGCUGGACAGAUGUGUGUUUCUGUGUGUCUG
RNAcentral lists this long non-coding RNA (413 nucleotides) under Mus pahari (shrew mouse). RNAcentral describes it as "RIKEN cDNA 2010103J01 gene (MGP_PahariEiJ_G0003707.1)". The stretch from base 186 to 258 matches the Rfam family "mir-192/215 microRNA precursor family". The record is from RNAcentral. Lineage: Eukaryota; Metazoa; Chordata; Mammalia; Rodentia; Muridae.